This 481-nucleotide ribosomal RNA is filed under the name uncultured bacterium. RNAcentral's name for it is "partial 16S ribosomal RNA". It matches the Rfam family "Bacterial small subunit ribosomal RNA", at positions 28 to 507 of the family's 1533-position model. The record is from RNAcentral.
GAUGAACGCUGGCGGCGUGCUUAACACAUGCAAGUCGAACGAAGCACUUUAUUUGAUUUCCUUCGGGACUGAUUAUUUUGUGACUGAGUGGCGGACGGGUGAGUAACGCGUGGGUAACCUGCCUUGUACAGGGGGAUAACAGUUGGAAACGGCUGCUAAUACCGCAUAAGCGCACGGCAUCGCAUGAUGCAGUGUGAAAAACUCCGGUGGUAUAAGAUGGACCCGCGUUGGAUUAGCUAGUUGGUGAGGUAACGGCCCACCAAGGCGACGAUCCAUAGCCGACAUGGGAGGGUGACCGGCCACAUUGGGAAUGAGACACGGCCCAAACUCGUACGGGAGGCAGCAGUGGGGAAUAUUGCACAAUGGGCGAAAGCCUGAUGCAGCGACGCGGCGUGAGCGAAGCAGUAUUUCGGUAUGUAAAGCUCUAUCAGCAGGGAAGAUAAUGACGGUACCUGACUAAGAAGCACCGGCUAACUACGUG